This 465-nucleotide ribosomal RNA is filed under the name uncultured bacterium. RNAcentral describes it as "partial 16S ribosomal RNA". It matches the Rfam family "Bacterial small subunit ribosomal RNA", at positions 28 to 507 of the family's 1533-position model. The record is from RNAcentral.
GACGAACGCUGGCGGCGUGCUUAACACAUGCAAGUCGAACGGAAAGGCCCUGCUUGCAGGGUACUCGAGUGGCGAACGGGUGAGUAACACGUGGGUGAUCUGCCCUGCACUUCGGGAUAAGCCUGGGAAACUGGGUCUAAUACCUGAUAGGAGCCAUUUUUAGUGUGAUGGUUGGAAAGUUUUUUCGGUGUAGGGUGAGCUCGCGGCCUAUCGGCGUGUUGGUGGGGCAAUGGCUUACCAAGGCGGCAGCGGGAAGCCGGACUGGGGGGGUGGACGGCCACCUUGGGACUGAGGUGCGGCACCGGCACCGACGGGAGGGAGAAGGGGGGAAGAUUGCACGAUGGGCGCAAGCCUGAUGCAGCGAGGCCGCGUGGGGGAUGACGGUCUUCGGGUUGUAAAAUACUUUCGCUAGGGACGAAGCUUUUUGUGACGGUACCUAGAUAAGAAGCACCGGCUAACUACGUG